GAUGAAGAACGCAGCGAAAUGCGAUAAGUAAUGUGAAUUGCAGAAUUCCGUGAAUCAUCGAAUCUUUGAACGCACAUUGCGCCCGCCAGUAUUCUGGCGGGCAUGCCUGUCCGAGCGUCAUUUCAACCCUCGAACCCCUCCGGGGGGUCGGCGUUGGGGAUCGGCCCUUUCACCGGGUGCCGGCCCCUAAAUACAGUGGCGGUCUCGCCGCAGCCUCUCAUGCGCAGUAGUUUGCACACUCGCACCGGGAGCGCGGCGCGCCCUCGUCCGUAAAACACCCCAAACUUCUGAAAUGUUGACCUCGGAUCAGGUAGGAAUACCCGCUGAACUUAAGCAUAUCAAUAAGCGGAGGA
This 353-nucleotide unclassified non-coding RNA is filed under the name soil metagenome. Its description in RNAcentral is "partial contains 5.8S ribosomal RNA, internal transcribed spacer 2, and large subunit ribosomal RNA". The stretch from base 1 to 120 matches the Rfam family "5.8S ribosomal RNA", at positions 35 to 154 of the family's 154-position model. The record is from RNAcentral.